Molecule: ribosomal RNA, 676 nt
Filed under: uncultured bacterium
Lineage: Bacteria
Description: bacterial SSU rRNA
Rfam family: Bacterial small subunit ribosomal RNA
Source: RNAcentral
GGGGACAACCCGCCGAAAGGCGGGCUAAACCCGCGUACAUGCCACCGGGGCAUCCCGGAGGCAGGAAAGGCUUCGGCCGGACAGGGAUGGGCAUGCGGCGCAUUAGGCAGUAGGCGGGGUAACGGCCCACCUAACCGACGAUGCGUAGGGGUUCUGAGAGGAAGGUCCCCCACACUGGUACUGAGACACGGACCAGACUCCUACGGGAGGCAGCAGUGAGGAAUAUUGGUCAAUGGUCGGGAGACUGAACCAGCCAAGCCGCGUGAGGGAGGAAGGUACAGAGUAUCGUAAACCUCUUUUGUCAGGGAACAAAGACUGGGACGCGUCCCCGGAUGAGUGUAGCUGAAGAAAAAGCAUCGGCUAACUCCGUGCCAGCAGCCGCGGUAAUACGGAGGAUGCGAGCGUUAUCCGGAUUUAUUGGGUUUAAAGGGUGCGCAGGCGGUCUGUUAAGUCAGCGGUCAAAGCCCGGGGCUCAACCCCGGCCCGCCGUUGAAACUGGCAGUCUCGAGUUGGAGAGAAGUAUGCGGAAUGCGCGGUGUAGCGGUGAAAUGCAUAGAUAUCGCGCAGAACUCCGAUUGCGAAGGCAGCAUGCCGGCUCCACACUGACGCUGAGGCACGAAAGCGUGGGUAUCGAACAGGAUUAGAUACCCUGGUAGUCCACGCAGUAAACGAUGAA